GUCCUUUAGAAUAGAAUUUAAGGUUUAACCUGCCCACUGAUGAAUUUAAUGGCCGCAGUAUUUUGACUGUGCAAAGGUAGCAUAAUCAUUAGUUUUUUAAUUGAAAGCUUGUAUGAAUGGUUGGACGAGAUAUGAACUGUCUUUAAAAUAAAAAUAGAAUUUAAUUUUUAAGUUAAAAAGCUUAAAUAUAAAUAAAAGACGAGAAGACCCUAUAAAUCUUUAUAAAUUUAUUUAUUAUAAUUUUUUAGGAUUAUAAAUUUUUAUAAAAUUAAGUUUAUUUUAUUGGGGUAAUAAAAAGAUUAAAUUAAUUCUUUUAUAUUUUUUACAUUGAUUAUUGGUUUUAAUGAUCCUAUAAUAUAGAUUUUAAGAUUAAGUUACUUUAGGGAUAACAGCGUAAUUUUUUUAAAGAGUUCUUAUCGAUAAAAAAGUUUGCGACCUCGAUGUUGGAUUAAAAUUAAUUUUAGGUGAAGAAGUUUAAAUUUUUAGUCUGUUCGACUAUUAAAAUUUU
RNAcentral lists this ribosomal RNA (508 nucleotides) under Bidessus calabricus. RNAcentral's name for it is "partial 16S ribosomal RNA". The stretch from base 385 to 508 matches the Rfam family "Bacterial large subunit ribosomal RNA", at positions 2473 to 2597 of the family's 2925-position model. The record is from RNAcentral. Lineage: Eukaryota; Metazoa; Arthropoda; Insecta; Coleoptera; Dytiscidae.